AGCAGCCGCGGUAAUUCCAGCUCCAAUAGCGUAUAUUAAAGUUGUUGCAGUUAAAAAGCUCGUAGUUGAAUUUCGGGAUCAAAGGAUCGGUCAUGCCUUGGUAUGUACUGGUUUUAUUGGUUCUCACCUUCUAAAGAACCAUAAUGUCAUUCAUUUGAUGUUAUGGGGAAUUAGGACUGUUACCUUGAAAAAUUAGAGUGUUUAAAGCAGGCUUACGCUUGAAUACAUUAGCAUGGAAUAAUGAAAUAGGACAUCAGAUUCUAUUUUGUUGGUUUCUAGGAUCGAUGUAAUGAUUAAUAGGGAUAGUUGGGGGCAUUAGUAUUCAAUUGUCAGAGGUGAAAUUCUUGGAUUUAUUGAAGACUAACUACUGCGAAAGCAUUUGCCAAGGAUGUUUUCAUUAAUCAAAGAACGAAAGUUAGGGGAUCGAAGACGAUCAGAUACCGUCGUAGUCUUAACCAUAAACUAUGCCGACCAGGGAUCGGAUGAUGUUAAUUUUUAAUGACUNAU
This 507-nucleotide unclassified non-coding RNA is filed under the name uncultured Glomus. Its description in RNAcentral is "SSU rRNA". It matches the Rfam family "Eukaryotic small subunit ribosomal RNA", at positions 569 to 1079 of the family's 1831-position model. Lineage: Eukaryota; Fungi; Glomeromycota; Glomeromycetes; Glomerales; Glomeraceae. The record is from RNAcentral.